UACAGAGGUCUCAAGCGUUGUUCGGAUUUACUGGGCGUAAAGGGCGCGUAGGCGGCCACCGCAAGUCGACUGUGAAAUCUCCGGGCUUAACCCGGAAAGGUCAGCCGAUACUGCGGGGCUAGAGUGCAGAAGGGGCAACUGGAAUUCUCGGUGUAGCGGUGAAAUGCGUAGAUAUCGAGAGGAACACCUGCGGCGAAGGCGGGUUGCUGGGCUGACACUGACGCUGAGGCGCGAAAGCUAGGGGAGCGAACGGG
This 254-nucleotide ribosomal RNA is filed under the name uncultured bacterium. Its description in RNAcentral is "partial 16S ribosomal RNA". It matches the Rfam family "Bacterial small subunit ribosomal RNA", at positions 524 to 776 of the family's 1533-position model. The record is from RNAcentral.